Molecule: ribosomal RNA, 490 nt
Filed under: uncultured bacterium
Lineage: Bacteria
Description: partial 16S ribosomal RNA
Rfam family: Bacterial small subunit ribosomal RNA
Source: RNAcentral
AUUGAACGCUGGCGGCAGGCCUAACACAUGCCAGUCGAACGGUAACAGGAAGCAGCUUGCUGCUUCGCUGACGAGUGGCGGACGGGUGAGUAAUGUCUGGGAAGCUGCCUGAUGGAGGGGGAUAACUACUGGAAACGGUAGCUAAUACCGCAUAAUGUCGCAAGACCAAAGAGGGGGACCUUCGGGCCUCUUGCUAUCGGAUGUGCCCAGAUGGGAUUAGCUUGUUGGUGGGGUAACGGCUCACCAAGGCGACGAUCCCUAGCUGGUCUGAGAGGAUGACCAGCCACACUGGGACUGAGACACGGUCCAGACUCCUACGGGAGGCAGCAGUGGGGAAUAUUGCACAAUGGGCGCAAGCCUGAUGCAGCCAUGCCGCGUGUAUGAAGAAGGCCUUCGGGUUGUAAAGUACUUUCAGCGGGGAGGAAGGGAGUAAAGUUAAUACCUUUGCUCAUUGACGUUACCCGCAGAAGAAGCACCGGCUAACUCCGUG